This is a long non-coding RNA of Gopherus flavomarginatus (Mexican gopher tortoise), 506 nucleotides long. RefSeq lists it as uncharacterized. The transcript is spliced from 2 exons. The record is from RefSeq and is a predicted model, not a curated record. NCBI's taxonomy places the organism in Eukaryota, Metazoa, Chordata, Testudines, Testudinidae.
UCGGGUCGUUGUGAUUGGUCGGGGCGGCCGCGUCCUCUCUAAAGAGAACUCCUAACGACACGGAGGCGAGACGGUGCCAGAAGAAGGGGAAGGUCCAACAGCCGGACGCGGCCACUACGGGUGUUACAUCGAUACGCAGCACCUUUCCAGACUCUUCCUUUGGAACAGCCGGUGCAUUCCUUCCAGAUCGGUGACCAGGUCCUUGUUAAAAAGUGGAAACGUGAUCCACUCACACCGAGGUGGGACGGUCCGCAUACUGUAUCGCUCAUCAGCCAGGCCGCUGUUAAGGUUCUUGGGAGCGACAAAUGGACACAUCAUUCCCGAGUAAAGCGGUUCCUGAGCCCGGAUUCAGAGGAUAGCCUAACUGAAGAGGACAUCAGCCCUCUGUCCUCUCCGGCUCCGGAAGCCCGGAGAGACACAGGCGAAGACUCUACCUGGGAAUACCAAGGAUUGGAAGGACUAAAAGGACUGUUUAAAAGACAGAAACAAUGAAACCAUCCUUUGUA